This 430-nucleotide ribosomal RNA is filed under the name uncultured bacterium. RNAcentral describes it as "bacterial SSU rRNA". It matches the Rfam family "Bacterial small subunit ribosomal RNA", at positions 355 to 776 of the family's 1533-position model. The record is from RNAcentral.
UGGGGAAUCUUCCGCAAUGGACGAAAGUCUGACGGAGCAACGCCGCGUGAGUGAAGAAGGUUUUCGGAUCGUAAAACUCUGUUUUCAGGGACGAAUGUGCAGUGUGUAAAUAAUGCAUUGUAAUGACGGUACCUGAGUAGAAAGCCACGGCUAACUACGUGCCAGCAGCCGCGGUAAUACGUAGGUGGCAAGCGUUGUCCGGAAUUAUUGGGCGUAAAGCGCGCGCAGGUGGGAUAUUAAGUCUGGUGUUAAAGUUCGGGGCUCAACCCCGUGAAGCAUUUGGAAACUGAUAUUCUUGAGUGCAGGAGAGGAAAGUGGAAUUCCUAGUGUAGCGGUGAAAUGCGUAGAUAUUAGGAGGAACACCAGUGGCGAAGGCGACUUUCUGGACUGUGUCUGACACUGAGGCGCGAAAGCCAGGGUAGUGAACGGG